Corylus avellana is the source of this 2354-nucleotide RNA transcript. It is a transcript of the gene named Squamosa promoter-binding protein-like (SBP domain) transcription factor family protein, with no coding region annotated. The record is from RefSeq and is a predicted model, not a curated record. NCBI's taxonomy places the organism in Eukaryota, Viridiplantae, Streptophyta, Magnoliopsida, Fagales, Betulaceae.
UUGACUCGUUGUGUAUCUGCUUCGACCUCACCACAAUCCUGAAAGACCCACAUCUCUCUCUCAAAGACCCACAUCUCUCUCUCUCUCUCUCUCUCUCUCUUACUGUUCACUCUGGUAUUCAAAGAACAGCACUCACCCAGUCCGUUGUCUUUUCUGCUAUCUUUUUCCAUUGUAUAUUCCGUUUGGUUCCCGAGAAACUGUAGCAAAAGAGAACCAAAUGGAGCAUGAUUUUGCAUUAUAUAUUCCUUUUAUCUCGUGUGAUAUGUUAGGACUCUGGAGUGUUCUUUCUAGUUUUGGGCAACCCGGAAGUGGAAUUUUUGUUUUGUCUUGGGAUUGAGAUGGCAUAUGAUAUGAUCAAUGUUGUUGAGUGUCUUUAGUUUUAGUUCUGUCCUCUGGGCAAUUUGCAUCAUUGCAUAGUUUCUGCGACUUUGAUUCUAUUCCAUGAUGGAGUCUUGGAGUUGCAGUUCAGAAGGGAAAGGCCUUUUGUUUCAUGAUGAAAUGGAGUUACAAAUUGACUCUUUUGCUAGAAGUAAAAAGGCAUUAAUGGAAUGGGACAAUAAACCCACUUAUUAUUUUGAAAGCAGUGGACUUGUUUCUGAUAGAGAAGCGGUUGAGGGCAUGGAAGUCUUGGAUUUGGGAUUCUCUGACUUGGUGAGAAAACCUUUUCAUGGUAACCAAGGAGUGGAGAUGUUAAGUGGUGAUGUUGGUAGUGGUUCUAGUAAAAGAGCAGUUACUCCUACAUGUAUUGUUACUUCAAAUUCAUGUUUUGAGGAAAUGGCUUCUGAAGCAAAGCUUUCAAGUUCUCCCAUGGAAGCCAACAGUCAAGAUUCAUCACUGAUUGAUUUGAAGCUGGGGACAUUGGCUGAUUGCAAAGACGCAGAGAAUAUCAAGGUAUUGAAAGAGAAUCCGAUUUUGUCAUCUGUAAGUCCAUCCUUGCCACGAAAGAGAGCGCGCAAAGCAAGUUCGUACUCUCAGACUGCCUUCUGCCAAGUCCAUGGUUGUAACAAGGAUUUGAGCUCCUCAAAGGAUUACCACAAAAGGCAUAAAGUUUGUGAUGUUCACUCCAAGACUGCCAAAGUUAUUGUUAACGGAAUUGAACAAAGGUUUUGUCAACAGUGUAGCAGGUUUCAUCUGCUGGUUGAAUUUGAUGAUGGUAAGCGAAGUUGUCGUAAACGCCUAGCAGGCCACAAUGAACGUCGAAGGAAGCCUCAAUUAGAUACCCUUUCUGGCACUAGAUACUUGGAUACUUCCUUCCCAAAGAGGACACCCUAUGUUUUCCAAGACAUAUUUCGAGCUGGCAUUAUUUGUCCAGAAAAAAAUGAACAAGCUAAUUGGUCUAGACAUACCAAAUUAGAAGGGGAGUCAAUUUACAGUCCUCAAUCAGCAAUAGCUAGCACAAGUGGGCAUUUGCUUCCGAAAUCUUUUCUCCAUCUCCAUGGCAUUGGGAAACAUCAUUGUUCUGGAGUUCCUUCAUCAGGACCUGAAGACUUUACUUUUACUGCAUCAACCGUUCAGGAAUUACCUGGGGCCUCAAUUUCCAGUUGUGCUCUCUCUCUUCUGUCAGCUCAAUCACAGGACUUGUCAAGCCAUUCGACAGGACGUCCAAUGUCUAGUCCCCAAAUCAUGCAAGGUCGCUCUGCCCAUCAUGUUCUUGGUCAAACUGAUAAACCUGUGAGGGUAAGCUCUGUGGAACAAUACGGGUCAAAUGGACUCUACUCGUAUGGGAUGAGCUCUAUGGAAGUUGAUAGGAUAGGAUCAAUAAUGCCUUCUGAUGCUAGUCAUGCUGGUGAUUUUCAAGUUCACACCAAUGAAAUUUUUCAAGAUUCGGAUAUUUUGAAUGCCAACUAUUUUCCUUCUACCGAAGAUGGACCCACCGUUGAUUGGCUUCAAUUGUCAUCACAUCUUCAAAGAGUGGAGCGACAGAGAAAUUCUAUUCAAGUAAAGCAGGAAAAUGGUGACUCUUGCUAUUUCCCAACCUUUAGAGCAGUGUGCAACCAGCAAGUUGCAGCAAACUGAAGACAAAAACAAGACUAUCAAAUAUCAAUAGAGCUUUUUAGCAUCGUCAAUGAUAUUAAGAGUUAACUGGAGGCAGUUGGAGUUAUGCUGCAUGCAUCAGACCAAACUAACUUCAUUGGUACUGUUUCAAAGGUGGAUAGAGAAACUUCAGAGAUACCAUUAGUAGGAAAAUUCCUUUUUCCAAAAGGUAAAUAAGAAACGAUUUUGUGGCUUUUGCUACUGUAAAGUGGUGUAAGAUUGAUUCUGUAAGUUCCUCUUAACUCCCUUUAUCUACAAAAUAUUAUGCUAAUCCAAGGAUUUUAACUAUUGAAUGAAACAAAAUCACUCUUAUCACUGGA